This 253-nucleotide ribosomal RNA is filed under the name uncultured bacterium. Its description in RNAcentral is "partial 16S ribosomal RNA". It matches the Rfam family "Bacterial small subunit ribosomal RNA", at positions 524 to 776 of the family's 1533-position model. The record is from RNAcentral.
UACGUAGGGUGCAAGCGUUAAUCGGAAUUACUGGGCGUAAAGGGCGCGCAGGCGGCCCUCCAAGUCAGGCGUGAAAGCCCCGGGCUCAACCCGGGAACAGCGCUUGAGACUGGGGGGCUUGAGUUCGGGAGAGGAGAGUGGAAUUCCCAGUGUAGAGGUGAAAUUCGUAGAUAUUGGGAAGAACACCGGUGGCGAAGGCGGCUCUCUGGACCGACACUGACGCUGAGGCGCGAAAGCGUGGGGAGCAAACAGG